GUUGCUGUAAUUCGCUACUAGAUGACGCUGCAAAGGAUGAAUUUGUACAUCGACCUGAAAAUUGGUAUAUAAAUAUGGUCCAAUCUAGGUUGCCGUAACUUGCCACAAAAGAUACUGCGACAUCAUGACAAAUAAUUACUGUUGAUUGGUGAGACAUUAAAUUUUGAAAAUUAUUGAAAAUUCCACUCAAAAAAUUGGAAAUUGGAAGAUCAAGCAUUUCACUGCAAGGGCUGGCGAAACAUCUCAACAGUAUACACACGUCGUGAAGCACAAGAUUACGAAUCGAACUCAAUAAAGCAGUAUUCAAUUACAAUGAGGACUACGAGUACAAAAUGCAUCGAAAUCUCCUCAUUCACCUAAUGGCUAUAUUGUGCGCACAUCGCCGCUUUAAUUUUCAGUAAGAAAUGCCUGCAUAUUCGGAAAUACAAUGCAUGCUUCAAAUGACAUCGUUCAGAGUGACGAAGCUUGCAAAAUAUGGUAAUUCCACACCCACAUUCGAGUUGCAAGGGCGUGAGGGGCUACGGGUAAAUGGGUGUCGUGUAAGGAUAAUCGCACGGUCCUCUUCAGACACGAAUUGAUUUAGAGACUACAAUCAGAGUCCCGCCGGGAGCUCAUCCACCGGGAAUUCCUCUGGAGCAUAUGCGUCAGACAGCCAUCCCGGUUCUUAUAGUACCAGAUAACCUCCGGUAAGCUUCGCGGCAAGAGUCACUUUAGAUUGGCCCCCUUGCAGACUUGGAUCUGAUAGCUCUCCUCGAGUACGUGAGGACGAAGUACAAGGGCAAGUGUAUCAUCCGACUUGUUUUCUUCUUCCAGUUCACGAAGAACAUCCGCAGUUUUUGCAAAUAUAAUUAGGCAGAAUAAGGUCUAAUGUAAAAUUCAUAUUUGUACUUUUUUUGCCUAAUAAAUAAUUUAAAAUAUUA
Hermetia illucens (black soldier fly) is the source of this 920-nucleotide long non-coding RNA. RefSeq lists it as uncharacterized. NCBI's taxonomy places the organism in Eukaryota, Metazoa, Arthropoda, Insecta, Diptera, Stratiomyidae. The record is from RefSeq and is a predicted model, not a curated record. The transcript is spliced from 2 exons.